This 273-nucleotide ribosomal RNA is filed under the name uncultured bacterium. RNAcentral's name for it is "partial 16S ribosomal RNA". It matches the Rfam family "Bacterial small subunit ribosomal RNA", at positions 85 to 354 of the family's 1533-position model. The record is from RNAcentral.
CCGCCGGCGACCGGCGCACGGGUGAGUAACACGUAUGCAACCUGGCCGUGACAGAUGGAUAACCGGGAGAAAUCCCGCCUAAUACAACAUAAUGCCGGGAGGGGACAUCCCCUGCCGGUCAAAGGGGGCGACCCCGGUCACGGAUGGGCAUGUGGCGCAUUAGGUAGUUGGUGGGGCAACGGCCCACCAAGCCGACGAUGCGUAGGGGUUCUGAGAGGAAGGUCCCCCACAUUGGAACUGAGACACGGUCCAAACUCCUACGGAAGGCAGCAG